Molecule: non-coding RNA, 46 nt
Filed under: Trichobilharzia regenti
Lineage: Eukaryota; Metazoa; Platyhelminthes; Trematoda; Strigeidida; Schistosomatidae
Source: RNAcentral
GUAAUGCUGAAGAGUCUCAAACUAGGACGAAACAGCUGUCCAGUAC